ACGGGGUGCAGCAGGCGCGAAAACUUUACAAUGCACGAAAGUGUGAUAAGGGAACUCAAAGUGCUAGUACAUUGUACUGGGCUUUUUUCAAAGGUAAAAACUUUGAAGAAUAAGUGGUGGGCAAGACCGGUGCCAGCAGCCGCGGUAACACCGGCGCCGCAAGUGGCAUCCAUAUUUAUUUGGCCUAAAGCGUCCGUAGCUGGUUUGAUAAAUCUCUUGUGAAAUCGUUAAGCUCAACUUAUCGACGUGCAGGAGACACUAUCUAACUUGGAACUGGGAGGAGUCAGAGGUAUUCCUUGGGGAGCGGUAAAAUGCUAUAAUCCUUGGAAGACCACCUGUGGCGAAGGCGUCUGACUAGAACGGAUUCGACAGUGAGGGACGAAAGCCAGGGGAGCGAACCGGAUUAGAUAUCAAAAAUUCUGUGAAUUUUUGGAAUUAUUCAAAAAUCAUUAUCGUUCGUAAAACACUACUGAUAAUGACAGAAGAAUAGUUUUUUAUCAGGAAUUUUGACUAAUUACCCGAGUAGUCCUGGCCGUAAACGCUGCGAGCUAGGUGUUGCACAUUCUUCGCGGAUGUGCAGUAUCGUAGCGAAGGCGUUAAGCUCGCCGCCUGGGAAGUAUGGUCGCAAGACUGAAACUUAAAGGAAUUGGCGGGGAAGCACUACCAGGGGUGCGGCGUGCGGUUCAAUUGUAUUUUACACCGGAAAUCUCACCAGAAGCGACGGCAGAAUGAAAGUCAGAUUGAAGGUCUUACUUAACAAGCCGAGAGGUGGUGCAUGGCCGCCGUCAGCUCGUGCUGU
Molecule: ribosomal RNA, 799 nt
Filed under: uncultured archaeon
Lineage: Archaea
Description: bacterial SSU rRNA
Rfam family: Archaeal small subunit ribosomal RNA
Source: RNAcentral